This 430-nucleotide ribosomal RNA is filed under the name uncultured bacterium. RNAcentral describes it as "partial 16S ribosomal RNA". It matches the Rfam family "Bacterial small subunit ribosomal RNA", at positions 29 to 507 of the family's 1533-position model. The record is from RNAcentral.
AACGAACGCUGGCGGCAGGCCUAACACAUGCAAGUCGAGCGAGAUCUUCGGGUCUAGCGGCGGACGGGUGAGUAACGCGUGGGAAUAUGCCUCUUGGUACGGAAUAGCCUCGGGAAACUGGGAGUAAUACCGUAUGUGCCCUUUGGGGGAAAGAUUUAUCGCCAAGAGAUUAGCCCGCGUUGGAUUAGGUAGUUGGUGGGGUAAUGGCCUACCAAGCCGACGAUCCAUAGCUGGUUUGAGAGGAUGAUCAGCCACACUGGGACUGAGACAUGGCCCAGACUCCGGGAGGCAGCAGUGGGGAAUCUUAGACAAUGGGGGCAACCCUGAUCUAGCCAUGCCGCGUGAGUGAUGAAGGCCUUAGGGUUGUAAAGCUCUUUCAGCUGGGAAGAUAAUGACGGUACCAGCAGAAGAAGCCCCGGCUAACUCCGUG